CCGGACUGUGAGGGGAGGCGGAGAGACGGGGCAAUUGACUACUGCUAACAAGUUAGCCUUGAUCGAGGAGUAAUCAAUUAUCUGCAGCUGCACUUCUCUUUCUUCGCUCUCCCUUCUUUCUCCUCUCCCUUCUUUCUCUCUGUUCUCUCUCUCUCCCCCUGUCCUCUCUCUCUCCCUCCCUCCCUCUCUCCACUCCACUCUGCUCCCCCCGUCCCUCUCCUUCUCUACCUCUCCCUCGCCCUCUCUUUCACUCUCUGUCUGUCCAAUGCAGGCGGCUCUAAGUUGGGAAGCUCAUUAAUUAGCGGGCCGGGGGUAGGAGGAGCCGGCUGGAAUUAGCCUGCCUAAUGCGCCUGUCAGUCCCGGCUCUACACCGUGCUCGGCCUGAGAUGUUUGUAAAUUACAUUAGAGGUGCCUUUAUUGCUCCCGAACCUGGGGUGACUAAAAAGCCACCGCCCCCACCCCAAACUGAGAGCAGUGCUCUGGGCACACCCGUCUCCCACCGGCCUGGCGGAGAUGGCAGCACCGGCCCGGAAGUCUCAUGCUGUGCAAGCCGGGGCUGUGAAGCUAGAGAAGGGUACCAGGAGCCCCAGCCGCGGAGUGGCGCGGUCGCCGCGCGGGCCAGGAUUGAUUCCCUGCCAUGUGAUGGGCUCAGACAUGGAGAGGAAGAAGAACGGAAGAUUGGGCUGGAGCGAGGAACAGAAAGGAGGGGGCAGAAAUUGCACCCACUGUGUCCCAAUAGUCCGGGGGUCUGUGAAGAGGGUAAAGAACCCGGUGUGUCUAGGCGGGGUUCACUAGUCCUGUUCCAAGCAGAAGUUGGCAUUAGUAUUGCGCUUUGAAAAACCAGAAGCGUUUGGGUCGGUGGUUAAGGGAUAAUCGUUUGGAAGCAAGGGAAAAGACAAGAUAAAGGUGUCCGCCCAGGAGACGUGGCCUCCUGCUGUUGCCUAGGCAGUGAAUUACUGGCCUCAGAGAGAAACCCCAGCCCCUGGUGCACCCCUGGAAGGUUAUUGGAAUGCCUUUGACUGAAGGGGUUGAGGAACAGCACCCUGCACUUGUGGAUGGGCCAAUCGGGCAGGUUCCCUUCUCUCUGUCACCUUCCAGCUUUCGACAUUCUUUUUUUUUUUUUUUUUCUAACUGCGUAACCCUGUUAAUGGUAGCCGCACUCUCCACCGAGGUUUCCCUGCCUUGGGGAGGGUGCUGGGCACAGAAGACUUCGAAGUCUGGGCUAUUAUGUCUGGUGGAAAGGCUGGGGCAAGGAAGCGGGAAUGGAGGCCAGGGUACCAUGGAGCGGGUAUUGGCGGCUAGGCGGGUGCGCGGAGGGGAGGGGGCGGGAAGAAAGGCCUGAGUCAGGCUUCUCAUAAUAAACGGCACGUGAAUAAUUCAGCAGCCUGGGGGAUCAUUGCAUUAGCACCACGGCCACCCCAUACCGCCCUCGCGAGUGCGCCGAGCAGCGGGCUCACCAAAGAGCGGAAGAGAGGGGUAGAAGACCCCUUGCCCUCAGGCAUCCUAAAUUAUGCCCAGGCCAAAUCCUACCAGCACCCUUGUCCUGGUUCACCUUGGACUCCUCUAGUCAGUGGCCACCUUCUGGACAGUGUUGCCCCAUCUAAGGCUCUAGAGUGCUACCAGACCCUGGGCAAGAAAAAACUGGCCCAGCUGGAGCCAGGGUAGGAAAAGAGGAUGGAGGCGUCUGCACUGAGAAAGCCUGGCAGCUGAAGGGCCCUGACGGAAUGCGGAUGUGGCUUUAAGCAAAGCGGAGGGACAGGAGUUCCUCCAGAGCUUGGGGCCCGGUUCCCUCCAGGCUGCUUUGGGCCAUUGGGAUUUCCCUUGAGAUUGAAAUGAGUUACUGGCAAAGCAACAGAGCCCUCCGUGGGCUCGAGUCCCCAGGUACCUUAAUCCACGGCACCCGCAGGUCCAAUGUCCACGGUGUCAGACAUCCCCCACUCCCCCGCCCCAAACCAGCCUAUCCUGUCCCUGGAAGGAAGAGCUAGGCUACUCGACUGGUUUCCUGGUUUCGUUCCCCAGAAUCUUCCUGCUCCUGGCCUUGCCCGCUUUCUUCACACCCUGGCCUCCUGACCUAGAAGGCUGCAACCACCGAGUCCCACAUCUACCUACGCCUUUAACUCCUUCAGAAAUCAGAAAGAUUUCUCCAUCUUCUGCCCGUGCUUCGUAUUUCGUUCACUUCGGUGAGAUCAACCCCUCCGGUUGGUUCUUCAGCUGCCUGGUCCUUUCUUCUCCUCUCUCCCUCUUAGUGAAUCUUGAGCCAGGACCCUCACUCUGUUUCCAUCGGUUUCUUCAAAGUGUGCGGCACAGCCAGAUCCUGGGGCAGGAGGCCGCUCACUCAGCCUCAGACCUGCUCUCCCGCCACCCCUAAUACAACACACUUCCCUCAGCAGACCUUUUCCAUUGAUUAUCGAUUUGAAUUUAUUCUGAGGAGCUUGGUCCGCAGACUUGGUUCCUGGGAAAGCCCGACUUUCUGUGCAACUCCUGCAGACUUAUAGCUACAGAUGAAUCUUAGCUGGCUGUGUGGCCUUAGGUAGGUCUUAACCUCUCUGAACCUUGAUAUCCACCCUUGUGGGGAAGAUUUAGGAAGGUUUAAGAAGACUAAGCAUUUUCUUUUGUUUAGGGAAGUGGACUCCCUUUGCUGAAACCUGAGCAGGAAGCAAGGAUGGAGAGACGGCCAUUUGUUUCCAUGCGCAUUUUGGAAACAAUUGGCAGUUGUUUCUCCUGUUUGGUUUGUACAGUAGAUUGGUGUGCCAGGCAUGUGCAUCUCCUCUAGAACUUGCCACAUCUCCAUUUGCUGAAAAGAACUCUGAGAUAAGCCCUGGUCUGCCUCACAAACAUUAUUCGAAUCCAGAGCCCAGGCUGAGCAUUUCUUGCAUUUAAGGCACAUCGUAUCUCUUCAAUGAGAAGGGAGUCUGACAGGCUAAGUGGAAGAACAUUGCUUGUUUCUGACUAAGGACAUUUUGAAAGCUUCAUUUUAUUUUCUUUCUUUCUGUUUUAUUUUAUUUUUUUUGUUAUGUUUUUUUUUUUUUCUGAUACAGAGUUUCUCUCUGUGUAGCCCUGGAUGUCCUGGAAUUCACUUUGUAGACCAGACUGGAUCAAACUCACAAAGAUCCGCUUGCCCCUCUGCCUCUUGUGCUGAGAUUAAAGGUGCACAUCACCAUGCUCGGCUCAAAAGCCCCAUUCGUAAGUAAACGAUGUUGGUGGCAUCCAAAGAAGGAUGAAAGUAAAACUCAUGGAGGGACUUUCAGCAAGUUGUAGAAAAAAACCACAGGGGUUGGGAGUAGGGUGGGGAAGCAGUGUCUUCCCAGCCAAGAAAGAAACCAUCAUCAAACCAUCAUCGUCACCUGUCUGUCUUCCUGAGGGGCCUAUAUCCCUGCAGACCAAUAGGAAGCAGGAACUCAGAGGACACCUCCACUCUCUUCCUCUUCACGGAGGCUUCUCAGAGAUCAAGUGAAUCCUGAAACUGCAGAGGUGGGCUUGGAUGUAAGGAAGCAGAGUGGAAGUUGGAGCCUGAGACCCUCUGGGCAGGCAGCGUGGGCUAGAACGCGGCUCUCCGGGACGAGGUCGUGGCCCUGUGGUAGCCUAUACAGACCAAGCGUCCUGCGCCACAAGUCCCAUUACAUUGUAUUUAUGUUUCGCUUUAUUGUUUUUCCCCCUCUCUUAUUAUGGUCUCACUCUGGGGGAGGCAAAGGAUAUAAUAUAUUCAUCUUUAUUAUACCAAAUCUGUGUGAAGCAUUUAAUAAAACGCUGUUUCUCCACAGCCAGG
Rattus norvegicus (Norway rat) is the source of this 3766-nucleotide long non-coding RNA. RefSeq lists it as uncharacterized. The record is from RefSeq and is a predicted model, not a curated record. Lineage: Eukaryota; Metazoa; Chordata; Mammalia; Rodentia; Muridae.